This is a non-coding RNA of Malus domestica (apple), 986 nucleotides long. The record is from RefSeq and is a predicted model, not a curated record. Lineage: Eukaryota; Viridiplantae; Streptophyta; Magnoliopsida; Rosales; Rosaceae.
GCCAAUGGACUGGAAUUCCCAUAUGUUUAUUUCAGUUAACAAGUUAAUUUGAAAUCAAAUCAACAAUUAGCAAUCCUUUUGUAGCCAUUGAAGUAGUAAGCAUGUGAAAACAGAAUCAAAAUCUUUGUGUACUAAACAAAUUGAUUGCCAAUUUUGUAGAUGUCUCACCUCAUUAGAACCCGGAGGCCGAUGACUUCUACACCUAGUCCGACGGCUACAUCUAGUCCAACGACUAUACCUACGACUGCCGCCACUGCUCAGGCAGAGAUGGACCAUAGGCCGGUCAAUCCGAUUCACUCAGAUGGUCCUCCAGUCCCACAGGCGCAGGCAUCGUCGACUUCUUCGAUGGCGUUACCUAUUAACGCCAGAUGAACUCACCGACGCCCCCACACUAUGGACCAGAUGUCGCCAUCGAGAUCCACAACCGAUGCCUCCGGUACACGGCCAGCGAAGAAAAACACUCGGGGACCUUGUUGGCAAUUGAAGACGGGGAAGGUCACCCGGGUGACCAACGAUGGUAUCCCAAUUGGAUACGAUGAGCGACAUCGGGUAGCACCAUAGUGCAUUGGCCCACAACAUUGGGCAUGUCGUGCAGACCUUUUGCCUUAUGUUGUGGAAGUCUUGGAAGGCGAUGCCGGAGGAGACGAAGAUUACAAUGCGCAAUCAAUUACAAACUACAAUUUGGAGCACAUGGACGAUGACAAGUUCACGUAUGUUAAUCGACUCUUCUUUGAACGCUACAAGCAGUGGAAAAGUGACCUGCACCAAUGGUUCCAGGAAUUUGAUGAUCCGUAGGUCGCUCUUGAGGAGGGAUGUCCGAAGGAGUUGGAGGACCGACAAGAUAGUUGGGUUUGGCUUUGCGGUCAUUUUAAGGACCCGACAUAUAUGGGUGUUAUGUUCUCUGUUUGUACCAAACUUGACCAAUCCCGAAACUACUGAGCACCGGUCAACGUUAUACCGUUAAGGACCCAGAAGAGUUUCCCUCC